GCGGUCUCCUCCUAAAGAGUAACGGAGGAGCACGAAGGUUGGCUAAUCCUGGUCGGACAUCAGGAGGUUAGUGCAAUGGCAUAAGCCAGCUUGACUGCGAGCGUGACGGCGCGAGCAGGUGCGAAAGCAGGUCAUAGUGAUCCGGUGGUUCUGAAUGGAAGGGCCAUCGCUCAACGGAUAAAAGGUACUCCGGGGAUAACAGGCUGAUACCGCCCAAGAGUUCAUAUCGACGGCGGUGUUUGGCACCUCGAUGUCGGCUCAUCACAUCCUGGGGCUGAAGUAGGUCCCAAGGGUAUGGCUGUUCGCCAUUUAAAGUGGUACGCGAGCUGGGUUUAGAACGUCGUGAGACAGUUCGGUCCCUAUCUGCCGUGGGCGCUGGAGAACUGAGGGGGGCUGCUCCUAGUACGAGAGGACCGGAGUGGACGCAUCACUGGUGUUCGGGUUGUCAUGCCAAUGGCACUGCCCGGUAGCUAAAUGCGGAAGAGAUAAGUGCUGAAAGCAUCUAAGCACGAAACUUGCCCCGAGAUGAGUUCUCCCUGACUCCUUGAGAGUCCUGAAGGAACGUUGAAGACGACGACGUUGAUAGGCCGGGUGUGUAAGCGCAGCGAUGCGUUGAGCUAACCGGUACUAAUGAACCGUGAGGCUUAACCUUACAACGCCGAAGGUGUUU
RNAcentral lists this ribosomal RNA (670 nucleotides) under Escherichia coli. Its description in RNAcentral is "bacterial LSU rRNA". It matches the Rfam family "Bacterial large subunit ribosomal RNA", at positions 2279 to 2925 of the family's 2925-position model. Lineage: Bacteria; Pseudomonadati; Pseudomonadota; Gammaproteobacteria; Enterobacterales; Enterobacteriaceae. The record is from RNAcentral.